CCUCCCACGGAGGUCCAAGUCCCAGAGAAUGUUCGAGAACAUUCCAUUCUGGAAGGGCCACAUGUUUUACCAAAGAGCUUAUGGACUGGCGCUUCUCACACGUCACUAUGCACACCCAUCACACACCGAAUCCUUGGAAGAUGAACAUUCUGAUUCAGUGGCUCUGGGAGGGGCCUGGAGGUCUGCACGUCUAACAAGCUCCCCUGUCGAUGCUACUGUAGAAAGUGCUCAGUAGAAAGUGCUGGAAGGAGGACUAUCCUUUCUUUUGCUAAUAUGGAUGGCCUCUUCCAGGAAAACGCUGGCUCAGAACUCUACAGAAAGCCCCUUUCCACCAGGACAGAAGGAGGGAGCAAAGCUCAGAGAGGGGCAGUCCGAAGCUUGGGGUCACCGUCGGGGAGCACUGGAGCCAGGCUCAGGUCCCAGGCAAUUUGAUGGCAGGGACCACCCGAAGGGGCACCGGUCAAGUAUACAGACGGUGAAGUUGGAGGCCCGAGUCGGGAUGGCACUUUCUUCCACUCGAGUCGGAGUUAUCUCUGGCCACAGACACAAUUGGUACACACCUGCCAUUGUCCUUUGUCAUUUGGUAGAGGCAGAGGGUACGUGCAACCGGGAGUUACAGGACGCAGAGAACAUUUCUCGAAGGAUACAAAUAAUGAGGCCCCAUGCUGGAGUUCCUGAUGGAAAGUCCCAACAAAUCAGGGAAGGCGUCUGGCAUCCAAUUUCUAUCCAAGCCUUUGAUCCCUGCUGCUGAACCUUCCACAACUCAGGCCUGAGACAGGGGACCCUCCAGGUGGCCUGGAGACCACCAGCCCUCUCCUCAGACAGGUGAGUGGCCGAAGCACCCUUUCCCCUCCGGGAAGCCUCUGCUGCACUCACUUUUCCAUAUUGCCCUCUGCCUGGACCCGGCUUCCUCCUCCCUGUAUUCCGGUGAAAAUAAAUUCAAUCGGAAACCGCGAA
Molecule: long non-coding RNA, 957 nt
Organism: Felis catus (domestic cat)
Lineage: Eukaryota; Metazoa; Chordata; Mammalia; Carnivora; Felidae
Exons: 3
Source: RefSeq, a predicted model, not a curated record